GCUCUCGGGGUUGUGCCCCUGCCACGCUGCGGGGAGAGGGGCCCUGUGCGGGGAGGGGGGUAGUGACGAGGGCUUUGGCGCUUGCCUGGGGUGAAGAGCAGGCUGUCGUUUGAAGAGUAGGGCUGAGCUCUUGGCGUGGCCUUAGCUGGGGAGGCCCUCAACAGGGAGCAGAUUGGGACGUGCGCUUGACGCAGGCGAGGCAGGAGCCUGCGCUUGUUGAUCUGGGGCUCUUGUAAACGUUGAGGCUUGUGUGUGAUGUCUGAGAACUGCACUAAUGGUGUUUGGAUAUCAUAAAUAUGUGGCUUAGUGUGACCGGCAGGAGGAGCUUUGCUCUCUUCUCAAGGCAGCUGUCCUCAAGGAUGUCCAUAGAGACGUAAAGCCAGACGGUGUAGGAUCUCUCUCAGCUUCCCUGUUUUCUUACCUGUCCUUGCUGUCCGAUGUUCGCGUGGCUUAGCCAGCUGACUUAAGUGCUCUCUGAAGUUCAGUAUACUGAACGUGUAGGGAGAAGCUCGAUUUUGAGCAGCAAAUUUUAGACUUUCUUGUACUGAACAUAAUCCCUGCUUCUGCUAGUUUCUGUCUUGGACAAUGAGAAAUGAUCUGUUCACCAAAAGGGAGAUAAGUUUCUGUUAGGCUUAAGGGGACUGAAGCUCCCUGAAAUAACGUGUGGAAGAACUUUGCUUGAAAACGAGAGAGAGGACACUCAAAAGUAUUGCAUGGUUUGUAAAAUAACACUUCACAGGAAUCGGCCAUUAACUAGAAAUUAAGUGGUUAAUUAGUUUAGAAGAUGCUCCAUGUAAAAGAGUAAUGAAGAGUUUUGCAGGCUUACUGGAGGUCUUGGCUGAAGUCCAGUAGUGGUAUAGCUCAGGAAGAAAGGGGUUAUCGGUUUUUAUUUCACACUUGGGCUCCUCCUGGAGGUAAGUACAUUGCAGUUGCUCAGGAUAUUGCCUUGCAGUAACUGCAUGGGGGUAGUCUGUUUACCCCAGGAUACACGCAGAGGGAAGUGAUGGAGAAAGGGUGUAAUGAGGUUUUUCUGUGAUGCAGUUAGAAAUUGCAUAACCUGACCCUUGCAGCCUUUCAGGAUUUGUAGAUACUACAGCAAUGCAAUGCGUGUCAUUCUUCUGUCUCCUUAAAUCCAGCUCACUCCAGUUAAAGAAUCUGGACCAGUUGCCUGCGUUCCUGUAAAAUGUCUGGUGUCCUGAGACAGGAGGUGCUUCUCCUCACCCCCAGCUUACCCAUUUUUGCCAUAUUCAUCACUGAAGAAAAGCAGUGGAGAAUGUGUUGUGCUUUUUUGCUGUUACAAUUUCAGUAGUAGUUGCAUACCUCUGAAGAUUUCUGAAUUACAAAUACAGCUCCAUUUAUUUCUUUCUUUCCUAUUUUUGUUUCUUCUCUACAGGGAUAACCUUCAGAUGAGGUGUGCUGUGGGCAAAAAAGGGGGCAGUGGCAUGAUAACUUCUGCCACAGCAGUUGCCCACUGUAGACUUUAAGCCUAUGCUUAUAUCUCUGCAGCUGAUAACAAGUGAUGAUGGUAAGUAUUGAAGUGGGAUAAUUGAGGGGAGAUUUUUCUGUCAGUUUUUUAACUGACAGCAGAAGUCUUCAUCCAAGUCUGCUGGCCUAAUGAUAGGAUGCUUUGUUACUUAAACUGGUUUACAAUCGGUUGGUUUCACCUGCACUGAUUCCCUUUCAUCCUCCCUUUCCCCCUGGUGUCAGUGCUGCUGCUCUGCAGAGAAGACAAGGAUGCAUCUGCUUUACAGAUGUUUUUAUGUCAUUGUUUAUGCCAUGUUUCUGUAUCUGAAGAUGUAAAUACCACUGAUCUCUCAGCUAGGAGCUGCUGGAGCAGACUGAAAUGCAGAACAAAGGACUUGACCUCAGGAACUACCCAAAUGAAUGCCUGAUGCAAGAGACUACAUUGUUUUUUGUGUGUGUGUAGUUCACUUUCAGCAGUUUUGGGAAUGUCUGAUGUUUCUCAGGGUAUGGAUUAUACUUACUGAUCCCAGCUUGUCAAAGCUGUUAAUGAUGAUGUCUUUUAUGUCUCAGACUUGGUAAUUAGUACUUACAGGUGAGCAGAAUAUCCAAGUCUUCUGACCCAACAGUACUUAAUUGGAAGAUCCAUGAGAAGCUUCUGGUCAUAUUACAGAACUAAAUGUUGUCUCAACAUUUCAUAUGGAAAGAGUUAAGGUGAUGAUAGAAUUGAAAGCCUGCCUUUUGCAUCUCUUAAAGACAUGGGUAUAUUGUGGUUUAAUACUGUUAAUGCAAGCUUCAGUGUCUCUGUGGUCCAGAGCAAAUGAAGCUGAUACAUUUGUGCUGGGCCUGCCGUGCUGACCUCCUACACUGCAGAAACUGGGUUGUCUUUGUUUCUCAAAGAUAUUUGGGUCACAGUGGACUCCGAUAAGCAACCAUCCAGUGUCUUGAAGACCAGGAGAAACAGUUGGAAAACCCUGCAGGAGGGGUGUAGAAGAUGAGGAUGAGUAGGAAUGUGUGAUGUUUCUGCUUAAAGAAGAAAUUUCUCAAUUGAAGUUUGUAUGUAGAAACCUGGCUUCAUAUCUCAGUUUUCAUUCUGAAGAGAAUUGGUGAAAACUUUAAGGGUUUGUAUGCUCUGAAUUGUUGAAAUCAUUGUCAAAACCAGCUCUCAAGUGCCUAUGAGAAAUACACAGAUUUAUAUUUAUAAGAUUAAUUAUACAAAUACGUUAUGUGAUAACCUAAUUUUUAAGGUGUCCGAUGUUCUGCUCCCAUGGUGUCAAAAUCCCUGUCAGAGCAGCAUGGAGGACUGGCAGGAUGCUGAAGCUCUCUCUGUUCCUGGAAAUUUUCUGGGCUGUGUAAAUUUCCAGCCUAGUAUGCAAAUUAGAUGGAUUAAAAAAAUGUGUGUUCUUGAACAGGGAGAGCAGUGAGGUUUGCAAGGGUGAGUGACACCAUCUACGCUACUCUUCACACGUAAGUUUUGUUUCAAAACCCCAUUUGCUUAAUUAUCUCAGGUAUAAAAUUUCAUUAUUUACAGUCCGCUUGGAGGAAGGAGAGGUGAAGUGUCACUGACCAACUGCUCACUUCAAAGCCAAGGGGGAGGGGUGUGAGCUCUUUCAUGUUAAAGUUGCUCAGAUUCUGGAGACUGAAGAAGCAGGUAUAAAAGGGCAGUUGUCUUUAAUUGUCUCCUAUGGAGCCAUUUCCCAAAGAGUUACUGGAGCUGCAAGGUGAGAUUCUGAAAUCAGGUGGGUAAAAUAGGUAAGUAUUUUUGUAUCAUGGUGGUGUUCCCAAAUAUUUUAACUACAGCAUUACAGAAAAAGACAUUGUUUUAUUUUGUUAAUAAACUAGAAAAGCAUGGGGAAAAAGCAGGUAAGAGUGGAAGGGUUCUGUGCCUCUCUGAGUGUUCUCAGUGAAAUUGUGGGGACGCAGCUGUUAAACCAAGAACCUAGUAUUCCUGCAUACCCCAAAAGAUUUGUAAAGCUCUGAAAAUAACUUUAUGGACUAAUGUUAACUUUUUUAAUCUUUCAGGACAAGAAGUGUGCUCUUAAGAGCAGUCAGGUGCUGCACAUCCCUGGGCUCUUAACUGGUACCUGAAAGAACUCACUCAACUGGAGAAAAAUUCAGUUUAUUCCACAACUUUUAACUCCCUUGAAUUUAAAUAACAGCUCAUCUAAUGCUGAAACAGGAAAUUUUUACUGUAGGUACUGCAGAAGGGGCUUGGAGUAGAGGACCUAAAAGUGCUAGUCAGAGUGCUGUGAUGGGCCUUGGAGCAACUGCAGGUAGUUGGAGUACAAGGGAUUCCCAUUUUGAGAAGCUCCAGUUUAAGAAGGCACACUAGCAGUGGGGAGACUUCCUGAAUAGAGAAGACUCAAAAGUUGAGUAUGUUCUGCAGCCAUUUCUUAGGGAUGUGUGGGUCUAUCUUCUGAGAUGGGAUGACACAAGAUGGCUGUUGAAACCAUGGGGUUGUAGGGAGACACAUUUCAUGUGAGCACAUAUGUGGAACUACCCGGUUCACAACCACCUCAGUGGCUUCAGUUCUCAAGUUUUUCUUGUUCUUAAAAAUCCCAUCUUCACUUGGUCCACCUAACUCCUGCAGAGCUCCCUUCCCUGGCUGAUGGCAGCACUGCAGUGAAGAUCGGCUGCCUGCACCUGUGGAUUGGUGGCACACAAACAUGAGUCCUUGGGUUGGCUGUGGUCUAGCUUUAAUAUACACAGCAGGUGCACCUGAGCACUUCACCUGGAACAGGGAAAAUGCUUGGGCUGUCCUCGGUCAGAUGCACUUGGUGUCUGCACUGCUCUCUUCAGCACAAAGCUUGGUAAAACCCUGUAUUGAAUGAAGCAGGUAGGGGUAGGACCCUGAGGUUGUGCUUGGUGUGGACCUAACUCAGGUGUCACUUCUCCUGGGAAGGUCUGUUGUAGCAAACCUGAGUUGGUCACUGCUUUGCCUGUCUGCUAGACCAGUAAUCCAUGAGCUGUAAACUCCUCGAGCAUGGUACUAGAUUUUGCUCCUUUAAAAGUGGUGGGAGGCACCAGGGAAUUUUAAGGGUCACAUGAACUACUGAAAUGGAAAGCCCACUAAAAAUAUCUGGAAUAUGUGAAAAAAAAUACAUUUAGGGAACUAAUGCAGUGACAAAGGCAUUGUGAGCCUUCAGCUAUGGCAGUCUUCCAACACUUGUCCCUGUUCUUGUUUUGAGGUUUGUAGGGAAAAAGCAUCUGGCAGGGGGAGUGUGAAAGCAGUAAGCACAGGUGAAAAUCCAGUUUUAACAACUGGAAUUACAUGUCAAGUUGUGUGCCAAUAGUUACUUUCUAGGAAGCUCUACAACUAAAUGAAUAUGCUGGAGUCCCCAGUGCAUGCUAGUGCUCUCACGUUCUCUGGCUAUUUGGAUGCAGUGACACAAAAUCCUACGUUGCUUCCUAUAUGACUCAGCUUAAAAUCCAAGCUUUGGCAGUGUGAGUACCUGAACAAGUCAGAGCAUUCCUGAACACACACAAGCCAUUUCCAUUUGGGAGGUUAGUGGAUUAACCUUGUCAUGAGCACCAAGGCAUGUGACACGCUUGGCCACAGAAGCAGGUAUGUGUGGGGUCUCUCACAAGUUUCUGUCAACACCUCAAUGUUGCAUCUCUCCAGGGUGGGCAACGUUGCUGCCAUUCAUUCUGAGUGGUGGUGCAGCCUCGUUCAAGUGGGCUUGACAGUAUCUCAGAUAUCCCCACCUUUUGCUAUAGUUGGCUUUCUGUUACCUGAAGGUAAAUUUAGGUACAGGUAUCAACAGCCAAGAGCCUUGGUUUGGAAUAUGCCUACCUGCCUGUACGUUCAGCCCUGCUCUCUGCUGUGGGUGGAUCUGCCUCUUGGAUGCAGUCAUCUUGUCAGUCUUAAUCCAGCCAAAGGAAACGUGCACCUGAAUUUUCCCUUGCUGUGAUUGUGUUCUAUGUGCUCCUCUGUGGGAUGCAGCAGGAUGGCUACCCUGAAUUUACUGCUCAGCACUCAGUGACAUAGCAGGGAAUGCAAGGCGUUAUUUUGUUUAUGCCCACUACCCACAAAUGGCAUUUGGUUUUGGUCACCAUCUUUCUAGCUAGUACAGGGAAGCUUUGUGCCAACAGCCAGGUUUUCCAAACUUGGGCUUUUUUCCUUUUCUGUAGUAUCUCCCUACCACACAUACAGAGUACAUCACACUCUGUUCUGCCUAGGUUAUGCUCUGAUGUGUGUGAGAAGCCCUGGGAUAAUUCCCCAUUUGUUCAGCCAUGUGGAGCUGAUGAUACUGGUGGCUGCAGAAUUUCAGCUCCUGCAUCCCAUCAUCAUGAAGAAGAAAAAAGAAAGCUCAGAAGAAAGAGCUGUCCUUUCCUUCUUCUCUACUGUGAUGUCUUCAACAGCUCCAGAGGUGGUGCAGGGUUCUGAGCGUAUGCUGCUCUCCACCCACCCUCUGCCCUGGCUGGUGGGACAGCAGCACGCUGUGGAGGAGGAGGUGAAGGGACAGAGGUUUCAAGAGGUGCUGUCUUAUGCCUUUGUCUCUUUCUGUCCCCUUGCCUUCUAUGUCCAUCUUCCUGAAGCUCAUUCCCAUUCUUGUUUGGAAACAGCUGCUCUAAUAAGGCCCUUUAGCACCAGCAGUCUUUCGAUAGAGGAGGCCUGGCUGUGGCUUGGCAUGCCAGCAGAUGGACUUAGCUGACUGAGGAAGAAUACUGCUGGUCCCUACAUGGUUUGUAACAAAGGGAAUGUUAGUAUGGACAAGGUCCAAGAAACACAUUUGUAGAGUCUUAUGUGUGACCUCUGCUAAAUUUGACAAAGAGCCCUGCAUGACUUGCUCUUCUCUUUAGUGGAACCCUGAUCAAAUAUUCUUCCAUGGCCCUAUCAGGGUAAUGUUCCAUGAGGUUCGUAAUCCUCUGCUAAGUGAGAAGGCCCUGAUGAGCUCACAACGUGAAGGUAGCUCUACACUUUUUCUCAGGAUCCUUCAGAGCAGGUGGUAAUGGGAAGAUGUUUGACCCAUUUCUAUUUUUUAGUACGUUUCGGCUAAAUAAGGCCGAGAGAAUCCCUACGUGUGUAACUUAGAAUCAAACGAUGUUUCUCCAUUUCAUACAAAUAUGACCAUUUUUAUGCAAAGGCAUAUAAAUUAUGUUUCUUAGCAGGCAUUUCUUUCAUGUUUUAUAUUACAGCUGCAUGUAUCCACAUUAGGUAACUCAGGAAUAUAUUAAUAACAAAUGUUAACCUUGAGUCAUAAACCACAAGAGUUAUUGAGCUCAAGCUUCUGAGGAUCUGUAUCCUCUCCUGGUACAUUCAGUGGGCAAAACAUUUACACCUCAGGACCAUGUUUUGCACUGGAGGACAUGGGUGUGAAUAUCUGGCUGCUGUUACUCUAGUUUGGCAUCUCUUAUCUUUGAGGGAUAAUCUUUCUGGUUCCUAUUCGAUCUUGGGGGGGAGCACAGAAAAUGACACUUAAAAGGUAGAUGAAAAGUGCUCUCCAUGUUUCCUGUUUCAUGUUUUCUAACAUUUGCCUUUAAAAUUUUAAAAUAGCACUUUCCAUUUCCUAAACUGGUAACACCUGGGGAUAAAUAGGUCUCCACAGCCAAUUGCCUCAGAUAGCUCAAAGACACAAGUGCCAUUUUGCAGCUAUCCACACUGUUGCUGGGAACUAACCAGUCCCCAUUAUAAAUACAAUAGUGCAAAAACUUUUCAGCAGGCUGAGCAAACCCAGCCCUUCUUACAAUGUUAUGCCUACAGUAUUAUGUCUAAAAACCCUUGGAAAACUAGUUGAAAACAUUUUAAAGAGGAGACUCACUUAACAGUACUUCUGUAGGGUUCCUCCUCAUUGUAAUGCACUUAUAAAUGUAGCUGACUACCACUCCCACUUUAAUAAAUAUUAUCUUGGAAGGCAUCUGUAGGUAAAAUGUAAUUUCUUGAACAAUUGUAUCAGUUUGAACUACUCAUACCAAGUUUUGUGGCAUCCCUGAAUAUGCUCACUUCUCCAUGUGCAAGACAUAAAGUGGCUUUGUGUUAUUUCCUUAGAAAACAGUAAGAGUCAUAAAAGGAACCCUGGUUUUCAAAACAGGGACAUUAGAUUGGCAUUUUAUUUUGAGUAAAAUGAAUACAUGCUCGUGAUUAUAAAGUCAAUGCUCGUCCAGGGUGUGUGGUUUACUAGCCCACCUGUUUUGCCUACAGAGCAGCAAAGAGAAUAUAGAUGGUGUUAGCAGCCAUAAACCCUUCUCUUUUUGUCUUCUCCCCCAUUGCAGGCUCUCCUAGGGAUGUGGCUGCCAGUUUUAAACCUGGGUUGGAUGCAGCUGUAAGGGAAAUAAGGGGAUAGCAGAGUUCAUCUUUGCAGACCUGCUGACACCCUGUAACGCAACCAGGAGGGAGAAGGUCUUGAUCUUUCUUCUCUCCCCAUCUCUAACUGCUCAGGUCACACCUCUGAAGUCUUCAGGAUAGCCAAAUACUACAUUGUGCUGCAAAGCGCGUGUCAGAGGUGAUGAUGCCUGCUCACUUUGAAAUUAGAGAGGCUGCUCUAGCUGCUAGUCCACUGUACUUGUGGGUCUCUGCCAGCAGAGGGUCGCUGUAAGACCAUUUAUAUAUGGCUUUAAUAUUUAAACACCAUUUGUAUGUUGCUUUAAUGUUUAAACACUUCACUGGGUGAAUAUUGAGCAUGAUGACCUUAGUACUUCCUUUAUUUCCUAAUCCUCCAUUUAUCUUUAUUAAUUAUAAGAAAUUAAGCAUUUAACAAAGAUUUUCAUUUGAGCUUUUCCUCACUGUUUAUUUUGCUUUGACAUCAUUCUUCCAGAUGAGAAGAAUCAUACAUUAUAACUCGAUUUAGGAAGACAGGUAUAAGAUAAUGUUACAGUGGAUUGGGAACUACUUCAGUUUAAGACAAAUGUAUUUCAAAGAAAUAACUCUGUGAAUAAGUUGUCAGUGUUCUAGCAUUUAUUAGGGGUUGAAACUUGAGACACUAAUAGCAAAUGGAAUUCAUUUCACUGAACAUCAGGCCUCUAACAGAUGUCCAGUCUGUGCUCAGUCUUUCCUUACCCUCUGUGGAGAGGGCUGCACACAUCCCAAGGUUGAUGCCCCUUAUCCUAAUUUAGGAAUCAAGUUUGCAGAACACAAGCUAGCAGGAGCCUGAUCCCAAACAACAUUUGUACAUGUAUAAUUAUUCCCAUGUGGGAUCUCACUAUGUGUGACAGUUAAUGACUAGGCAGUUAAUUAUGUGAGUAACUAUUAUACAGGAAUGGGCUCAAUUCUCAUGCUUGUGUUAGAGGGAGACUAAUUUGUCUCUUGAGGUGUCUGUUCCUUUCUGUUGACUACAGAGGGAGCAGAGGCUAGACCAGCUCCAAGUUAAACUUCUAGUCUACAUAUCUAGCUGAGACUCAUCUCACCCACUGUGUCUACAAGCUGGUGUUACUAAUAUUGGGUAAUACUUUGCCUCAUCUUUACAGGUUUGUAGCAAAUAGAUUCUAUGCAUCUGAUUUCACAUCUAAUGCCUAAAGUGUGACAGUUAUGUGAUCAGUAGAUAGUCAUUACGUGUUCUGAAAUCAGUGGAAUUCCACCUGGGAGCAAUUGCACAAGUAUAAGUAGUUCAGGUGGUUUUUGGCUGGAGAUGUUAUGAAGCUGUACACAGUAAAAGGUAGUAGUAAGUGAUGAUGGAAAAUGUGUCAUGUUCCAAUAUAUAGUGAUUUAUAUUCUGUAUUAGAAGUCCUGUUGAGAAUUGUCCUACAUGUAUUUAAGUAGUUUUAAAAGGCUUGAACAGAAAUGCAAAAAUUCUUGUCCUUGAUUUCAGUUUAUUUACAACUCAGAAAUGAUGUUUUCAAAAUGGAAUUCCUAUCUAAAGUUCUUUAAAACAAACAACAACACCCAAACCUCCCCCCCAAAAAAACCCUCAAAAAAACAACAAUAAAAACCAGCAGUCUUCAUUUUGUACUAUUUCAGAUACAGAUGAGGUGUUAGUAUCUACUAGAACAGGUGACAUUCCUCUCUGUUGGCAGAAUUAGAGCAACCUAGUGACCAACUUAAGCUAAAGACUGAAGAGGCAUCUUCCAUAAAGGCUACAAACAGCAGAUAACCUCUGGCUUCCCUGCCAGAAAACACAGGCAAUGCCAGACACACACGAGUAGGAUUCACAUCCACCUCUGCUGCAGGGAUCAAGCCUUGAACCAGUUUCCAAAACCAUGUCCGUAGUGCAAGAUCAUUUGGUGUAUUUGAACACAGAGAAAUGUCAUGGGAAUGAUUAAGGGAUUAGAGUAACAGAGUCAGGAGGAUAAGACAAGGUUAUUGCAGACAUGGGAGUGUAUUCAUGACACCAGCAUGUGCUGUGGCUCUUCUGGAACAGUUUCCAGUCAACACCAGACUGUACAGAGCUUUCUGCAGGAUUUGUGUUUCCAGCACUUGUGCUCUGCUUGAGGUUAAUAACAUGUAAAAUCUUGUGUGUGAUUCCCUGCUGUAAUUACCUGUUAGUGUACGUAUGGGCUUUCAAGUGAUGGAAAUGACACAUGAUUUAUGAAAUAGCCUCUUCCUGUUUGCAAUGAAGCAGGGAAAUACUGAGUCAUCUCUAACCCUUUAGCCAUCCCUGCACAGGCUCUUUGUUGUGUGCUCUCUGCCUCCUAGGAUUUGGAUUGAUGGUACUCAACAGAAAUUUUUACUUGAACCAGUCUCAGUUUUACCAGUUUUGGAUGAAUUACUGCCUUUUCUUAGAGAAAAGGUUUGAACUACAUCACUGUUGAUCUGAAUUAUAAAUUAUAAAAAAAAUAGAUGUCUGUAGUUUGGGUUAAACUAAUGAAUUAUUGAUUUGGGGGAUUAAUUACUUGCAUUCACUGUAAGCUCUACCUUUUGAUUCCCUAAAGUGAGGUUAUGUCAGUGAUUUAGCCCUUAACUUUUUCAUGGAGGAGGCAAAGUAGUUUGCUUUUGUUUUUCCAUAUGAUGUCCAUCUGUACAAAUAGAUUAGAUGUGGGAAGGUCAUCCUCUGCUUUCAUCUUGAUAAGGAUUGUGUCUUUUUGCUUUUUUAUAGCUUUUUAAAGCCAUAAAGAUAGUAUGUCCUAAAACUAUAUUGCAGGUCUGUAGUUAUCAAGACCAAAUUAAUUCACAUCUGUGGUAUUAUAUCUAUUGAUGCCCUUACUUGUACAAUCUAAUUCAACUCUUCUUAUGGUUUUGGUUCCAUCUACUAAAAUGAAGAUCUUUAUUUUUUGUGUAGUAACAGAACUGCCAACCAACUGUCUAUUUGUGAAAAGCUGCCUCACAGAUCCUUGUAAAGGUCUUUUCUGCCAUCUGCACAAACCCUUCUGGUUUUGGAGGCCUUGCAGUGAUUUGUUUGUGUGCUCUCUAUGCCUUGAGUGCAUCAAGGCAGUGAACACUCCUGUCCACAGCUUCUCUAGCUGCUUGUAGGCAGCUUCCCACUGGGCAUGUUGACUUGCAGUGGUUUCUUCCCCCAGCAAGGAGACUGUUUUGUAUUGCAUACCAAGGCACCUAACUCCUCCCAUACUGAAUCUCAGAAUCACAGAAUUAUCACAGUUGGAAAAGGCCUCUAAGAUCACCAUGUCCAACUGGCAACCCCUGCCCACCCCAAAAAAAAACCAACACACCACAAAAACCACAACCCACCACCACCCACAAGAGCAUGUCCUGAUGUGCCUCAUCUACAUGGUUUUUAAAUACCUCCAGGGAUGGUGACUCCACCACCUUCCUGGGUAGCCCAUUCCAGUGUCUGACUACUCUUUUGGUAAAUAAAUUCUUCCUAAUAUCUAGUCUAAACCUCCCCUAGUGUAACUGUAGUGACCCCAGGGGCCCAAAGAAGUUCUGGAAUCAGCUGUAGGGUAGAUACUGCAAUGCUCCCCCAGACUGUAUUUCACUAUCUUUUGGAGCAAGCUCCUAAUGCUACUGAAAUCUCAGCAGUAUGAUACCUGACCUUGCUAGGGCUGAUACAGAGUAGCAUCUGAAAAGAGAAGGUCAAUUAUUUCCUCAGAUUCUCACAGUUGGAUAUUUUAUCCUUUCUCUACAGAAUACAACAGGGGCUCAGGUAAAGGAGGUGGGAUGCUCUUUUUGACUCACAUUGGCUUAGUUUAGUUUGCCUCUGAAAACCCAGUGUCUGGUUAAAGAGCUGCAUCUUCAGUGGCUGUGCAGUCUGAGGGCUGGGCUGACAAAUAGCUGGAGACCACAAUGCUGUGGUGUUGUUAAUUCCUUUCUGCCAGUGAGACAUUCCUUUUCAUCUCUUGGACAGUGUCAUAAAUCACUUUUUGGUCUUGCCUGUCACUGGACCCAACUGAUACAGUGUGAACCAACACCUCAGCUGUAUGCCAGCUGUGCAGCCACCGUGCCUUCCUACAACCAGACCUUUUUUAGAUAUUAUCCCAUAGAGAAAGAGGAAAGAAGGUGGAGCAAGCCAAAUUACAUCAGUGAGGUGGAAAAGCCAACAAUUUUCCAGAAUUGAGAUGAAGUGCCUUCGGAUAUUGACAAUUUACUGUUGCUUUGUCAAGCCACAGACUUCUGCAAAAUCUUUGACAAAGAAAAUACUGAUGCAAUGUGUUGGUUUUGCUUGGGGAACAUUUUGAAUGUCUAUGCUCAACAUUCCCUGUGGGAUCUUAGAGCAGUAAUUCCUCACCACCUACUUCAUUUGGAUGCACCUUCUGCCAAAACCGACAAGGAAUGAACUGACAGGACAGUCUUUAGCAAUGGGGAAAUUGUGACGUCUGAAGAGAGUGCACACGCAGAGGAGGGGCUACUUCAUGUUCAAAAAGGAGUUUCUUAUCAGCAAAACAAGCUCUACUCUUCCCUGCAGAUAUCUUGUCUCUGCCUUGCAGCAAUGCUAAGAUGUUUCAUCUUGUGAGAAGCCAAGGGAAAGAGAUUUACCAUAGUAAAAAUAUCUGUGCACGUGCUAUUUAAACUCCAGUCAUUCUACUGAGUUGAACUAAGACAACCAUUAACACCAGCUGGGACCGGAAUGAUUAUAAGUAUUUGUACCUAUUACAGGGUCUGGUUUCCAACUGAAUCAACACGUGCUGCAGCUUUUAAGACAAAGGAAGGAACAACAGCACAUGCAAAUAUCACUUGCUGCCCUUCUGCUGACUGCUCAUGGGUGGCUCAGGCCAGACAUGUCAGUCUUCCAAGACAAAUCAAUGGUGCAAAACCUGACUGUAUAAAAUAUGUCACUUUUUUAAUACAGAGAUCAAUCUUAAAGCAGUGGAGAUGCUAAUCAGUGCACAGAGCAAUUGUCUCUUUCAGAAAUCUAACUGAACACAAGGAGCCAGGAGUCCAGGAACUGACUUAAAGCAGUGAUGAUGUCAUUUUUCUCCUCCUUCUUCUUCUCACUCUUCCCUGAAACUCUGCAACCAAAAUUAAUAGUGCACUAUGUCUUCUCAAGCCUGAAUAUUCCCUCACACACAAUGAGAAAAACAUGGGAGGCUUUAUAAAAGUCCCUUGAUAACUGGAACAAGAAAACUAAUUGUUCAUCUGAGUGGAAUGUCCUCUUAUAAAAUGCCAGCCUUGUGAUUUUUAGAUCAAAACCUAAUAAGAUGAGCUAUGAGCUCUUAUUAUUUCUUCUGCUCCUUCACAGUAAAAAUCUGAAGUACUUUAAAAAUGCUGAGAACCUGACAGUGAUUGACAAGAAAAGAAGAGGUGUAAAGACAUACUGUGCUGAAGAAAUCUUACUUAUUUUUACAAAACAACAAUGAUAGGUAGGUCUUGCAUUUGCAAUUUCAGCCAGAAGCCAGGGCUAAGUUUUCUCAAUCAAGACCCUUACAGACUCUGCCUUUCACCCCAAGGGAAGAACACCUGAUGUGAUAAAAACCCAGAGUGACUUUAAGGAGAGAGAUAAUAAGAAAUCAAGCAGCUGCUUGAACAUUUUUUUUUUUUUUCUCAGUGAAAGAAUAUCUUAUUUUUAGUGAAUGUUCACUGUAUGUGUGAGCUGCUCCCAUCGUUUUUAUUACUGGACCUGUGCCCUACUGGAUCUCGAACCACAGGGGCUUGGUUCCAGCCAGCUGUGGGCACACGACCACGUUUCCUUUGAAUGAUUAAGUACCUGUGGUAUGGAGCUCAUACGAGUUUUAUAGCAGCUGAUGGCUAAUAUCUUGGUCUGACAUAAAGCAACAAUGGCACACAGACAGUAGCUGUAAUCACAGGAAGUGUGUCAGUACAAAAUCAACAAAACUUUAAAAGGCAUUUUAACUGGCAGUAUGAGUGAAAGCUGGAUCUGCAGCUUGGACAGUGGGUUAGGGCACAUCUGGUUGGACUCUAAUGUUGGAUUUACUGCGUCAUUAAGCCACAGUCAGGGAAGAGGAGGGUGAGCUGUGUCUUUUAUAGUUGUUAAAAAUGGAAAGCACUCUGUCACUGCUAUAUUCUCAGUGAAAAAGCCAGUGCCAGUUCAAAACUGCUGCUAGACAUGAUUCAACCAUGAUCUAUCUACAUGCUAGAUCUUCAAAAAGAUUCUGUGUUAUUGCAUAGUGAUGGCAAAAAGCAACAUGAAACUGCUAACAUGUAUUAACAAGGAGCUUUACAGAAGAUGUGGCACAUGCAUUUGCAUAACUAUACUUUGUUGAGUUGAGCCUGGACACAGUGCUUGCAUGCUUGGAUCAUUUAAUUGGCCUAAGACUGAAAUAAACACUUAAUAUUCAACAGCCAACUAUGUCCAGUAAUGACAGGGUCCUCUAGCAACAUGUUAACUAUGUCAAUAAACUUCAGCUAAAUAGUAGCUGGGGUUUUCUGCUUAAAAUGAAACUAGACCUUCAUUAAAUUCUAAGGUAAGAUUUAAAAAAAUAUAUAUUAUUAUUUUAUUAUGUAAUCUGGUUAUUUCCCACAUUAUCUUGGUGACUGAAUAAUGUGAAUCUGCUGAUUUGUUGACUUAACUGGAAUUGUAGCCUAAAUCACAUAAAAUAUAGAGUAUGGCUUUGUUUUUAAUCAGUUUGGUGAAAUUGUAAGUAAAUUAGGUAAGUAAUGUGCUUUGUGAGAUUGAAGUUUGUGCAUUCACCCUUUCUAUGCAACCCAAACACGGGACACUAGAUCUGUUUGCUUCAUCAGACCACAACACGGGUCACAGACUCUGAAAGCUACAGAAGCUCUGAUGUGAAAUCACAAGCCUCUUGCAUCUGUCUCUGAAGAAACUACCUACAUCCCUUACAUUCCACAGGCUGUAACAUCCCUGGUAAAAUAAACCAUGCUAGUUAUCUACCUAUACUGAGAAUGUAGCUUGUUUAUAACUUAUAAAUAUGCUAAUAUGCUACAGAUUUGCACGUGUGCCUUCAUUCACCUGCAUAAGUCAACACAAGAUGAAGAACUGCCAAAUAUAUUCAGCUAUAAUGAACACUUACCUGGAGACAAAGCUGGCUGGAAACAAGACAAAGGUGGUGAUUACAUAGAAGCCAUCUAACCAAGUGCUGCAGGGCAAACCAGCCACAGCUACUGGGCCUCCUUUUUCAGCUUACAGGGGUAGUGCUUCUUCUGCUCAUUUUUACCUUGUAUCAUGUUCCCUGGAUCAUGAGUAUAUAGUAAAACACAUGGGGUGUUGUUUGGCACCAGGGAGGAAAGCUGUCUCUGUCUUGUCUUGGAUGCUGCAGCCAUAUCUGGACCCGUGGAAAGGGAUGAGAUGUUUUUCUUUGGUGCAGUUAAGCACGAGGACUUGGGUGAAGCAACUUAAGAGUAGAAUGGCACAGAAAGAGGCCUCUGAAGGAAUGAAAAAAGCUAAAGAAAAAAACAUCUUACAGAAUAAUUUAAAAAUGUAAAAGUGUUCCUUUAUGUUUUAAUAAAAUCUAACUUCUGGAGUCAAAA
Long non-coding RNA from Apus apus (common swift), 15175 nucleotides. RefSeq lists it as uncharacterized. Lineage: Eukaryota; Metazoa; Chordata; Aves; Apodiformes; Apodidae. The transcript has 2 exons. The record is from RefSeq and is a predicted model, not a curated record.